GAUGAACGCUGGCGGCGUGCCUAAUACAUGCAAGUCGAGCGAACAGACGCGGAGCUUGCUCCUCUGACGUUAGCCGCGGACGGGUGAGAAACACGUGGAUACCCUACCUAUAAGACUGGGAUAAUCUCGGAAAACCGGAGCUAAUACGGGAUAAUAUAUUGAUCCACAUGGUUCAAUAGUGAAAGACGGCUGUGCUGUAUCUUAUCGAUGGAUCCGCGCCGCAUUAGCUAGUUGGUACGGUAACGGCUUACCAAGGCAACGAUGCGUAGCCGACCUGAGAGGGUGAUCGGCCACACGGGAACUGAGACAGGGUCCAGACUCCUACGGGAGGCAGCAGUAGGGAAUCUUACGCAAUGGGCGAAAGCCUGACGGAGCAACGCGGCGUGAGUGAUGAAGGUCUUCGGAUCGUAAAACUCUGUUAUUAGGUAAGAACAAAUGUGGAAGUAAAUAUGCACGUCUUGACGGUACCUAGUCAGAAAGCCACGGCUAACUACGUG
RNAcentral lists this ribosomal RNA (497 nucleotides) under uncultured bacterium. RNAcentral describes it as "partial 16S ribosomal RNA". It matches the Rfam family "Bacterial small subunit ribosomal RNA", at positions 28 to 507 of the family's 1533-position model. The record is from RNAcentral.